Molecule: ribosomal RNA, 433 nt
Filed under: uncultured bacterium
Lineage: Bacteria
Description: partial 16S ribosomal RNA
Rfam family: Bacterial small subunit ribosomal RNA
Source: RNAcentral
AACGAACGCUGGCGGCAUGCCUAACACAUGCAAGUCGAACGAGACCUUCGGGUCUAGUGGCGCACGGGUGCGUAACGCGUGGGAACCUGCCCUUAGGUUCGGAAUAACUCCCCGAAAGGGGUGCUAAUACCGGAUAAUGUCUUCGGACCAAAGAUUUAUCGCCUUUGGAUGGGCCCGCGUUGGAUUAGCUAGUUGGUAGGGUAAAAGCCUACCAAGGCGACGAUCCAUAGCUGGUCUGAGAGGAUGAUCAGCCACACUGGGACUGAGACACGGCCCAGACUCCUACGGGAGGCAGCAGUGGGGAAUAGUGGAAAAUGGGCGAAAGCCUGAUCCAGCAAUGCCGCGUGAGUGAUGAAGGCAGUAGGGUUGUAAAGCUCUUUUACCCGGGAUGAUAAUGACAGUACCGGGAGAAUAAGCUCCGGCUAACUCCGUG